UACGUAGGGGGCUAGCGUUGUCCGGAAUCAUUGGGCGUAAAGCGCGCGUAGGCGGCCCGGUAAGUCCGCUGUAAAAGUCAAAGGCUCAACCUUUGAAUGUCAGUGGAUACUGCCGGGCUAGAGUCCGGAAGAGGCGAGCGGAAUUCCUGGUGUAGCGGUGGAAUGCGCAGAUAUCAGGAGGAACACCAACGGCGAAGGCAGCUCGCUGGGACGGUACUGACGCUGAGGCGCGAAAGCGUGGGGAGCGAACAGG
RNAcentral lists this ribosomal RNA (253 nucleotides) under uncultured bacterium. Its description in RNAcentral is "partial 16S ribosomal RNA". It matches the Rfam family "Bacterial small subunit ribosomal RNA", at positions 524 to 776 of the family's 1533-position model. The record is from RNAcentral.